RNAcentral lists this ribosomal RNA (336 nucleotides) under Triticum aestivum (bread wheat). RNAcentral describes it as "partial small subunit ribosomal RNA". Lineage: Eukaryota; Viridiplantae; Streptophyta; Magnoliopsida; Poales; Poaceae. The record is from RNAcentral.
AUGUACAAGAAUUAUGUGGCUGGGAGAGAAGAAAACUCAUGUCGCCAUUUUAAGUCUGAAAGAUAUAAUUCAACAAAACUUUCAACCAUUGUUACAACAGUGACAACACUUUCAGACUUCCAGUGCAUUCAUUCCCUUGGCAAAGGCUAUGCAAACAUUUUCUGCAGACCUGGAAUCUUCAGUUUCUCUAGUGGCACCUGGCUCCACAAAAAUUCCUUCUCGGUGUCUCAAACUCUUUAUCAACUCAAAGAUUCUCCAAUCUACAUAUAUUUCUCUCGAAUUGGCGGCUUGGGGCCAUCUCUUUAUUCCCUGUUUGUCCCAGUCAAAGCGAGUUAG